Molecule: small nuclear RNA, 106 nt
Organism: Sorex fumeus (smoky shrew)
Lineage: Eukaryota; Metazoa; Chordata; Mammalia; Eulipotyphla; Soricidae
Source: RefSeq, a predicted model, not a curated record
AUGCUUGCUUCGGCAGCACAUACACUAAGUUUGGAAGAUACAGAGAAGAUUAGCAUGGCCCCUGCGCAAGGAUGAUACGCAGAUUCGAGAACCCUUCUAUUUUUUA